AGCGAACGCUGGCGGCAGGCCUAACACAUGCAAGUCGAACGAACUCUUCGGAGUUAGUGGCGGACGGGUGAGUAACACGUGGGAACGUGCCUUUUUGUUCGGAAUAACUCAGGGAAACUUGUGCUAAUACCGAAUGUGCCCUUCUGGGGGAAGAUUUAUCGCCAUUAGAGCGGCCCGCGUCUGAUUAGCUAUUUGGUGAGGUAACGGCUCACCAAGGCGACGAUCAGUAGCUGGUCUGAGAGGAUGACCAGCCACACUGGGACUGAGACACGGCCCAGACUCCUACGGGAGGCAGCAGUGGGGAAUCUUGCGCAAUGGGCGAAAGCCUGACGCAGCCAUGCCGCGUGAAUGAUGAAGGUCUUAGGAUUGUAAAAUUCUUUCACCGGGGACGAUAAUGACGGUACCCGGAGAAGAAGCCCCGGCUAACUUCGUG
This 433-nucleotide ribosomal RNA is filed under the name uncultured bacterium. RNAcentral describes it as "partial 16S ribosomal RNA". It matches the Rfam family "Bacterial small subunit ribosomal RNA", at positions 29 to 507 of the family's 1533-position model. The record is from RNAcentral.